This is a long non-coding RNA of Carassius gibelio (silver crucian carp), 749 nucleotides long. RefSeq lists it as uncharacterized. NCBI's taxonomy places the organism in Eukaryota, Metazoa, Chordata, Actinopteri, Cypriniformes, Cyprinidae. The record is from RefSeq and is a predicted model, not a curated record. The transcript has 3 exons.
AUUGUAAAUUAAUCACGUAAUUAUUAUCGUAUUCAUUGUGGACGUUGCGUAUUUAAAAGUGAGGAAAGCGUUUUGUAUGAAAUCCAUAGGCCUACAAGCGCAGUAAGUUAGUCCCUCACAGGGCUCGCACGUAAAUCGGCGGGAAACAGUGAGUGAGUUGUGUGUGGAAAGUCUGCUGUAUUUUAGAAAUACUCGUCAGAAAAAGCAACUGAGCUGCUAAAGAGGAGACAGCUUUGAAGGUCCUGCCAACUCUGCUUCCCCCAUCCAUCUACAGGAGAGGAGGAAAGGUCUUCAGACCCACCACAGAGGAGGCCCAGAAGUCAUUUAUUGACAUGCAACCUGUUGGGACCAUGAGAUGACUGGAGCAUUGCUGCACAUUCUGUGCCUCAGUGAUGAGACAAGGGGGACAUCACAGACCUCUGCCAUUAUUCCAUGCCACGCCAUUGAGACUGAGUCUUUGUUGGAGGUGGAUAAUCUUUGCUUUAAAGCUUUUUUUGUUUUUGAUGUUCAGUACACCAAGCAGUGUCUCCCCACCUGGGAGUUUCUCCAGCAUGCUGUAUAUCAAAUUGAAGGAAAAGAGUCCUCCUCUGUAAAGUUUUUGAGGACAACAGUGGUUUCAGGCCCACAUCGUAUGAGAGUUCAAAUUAGUUGUUUAAUGACUUUUAAUGCCUGAAUAUUUGGACAGAUUUACAUUUGUUAUAAAGUCUGUGGGGAAGGGUGAAUGUCAGAGGGUGUGUGGGUGGGGGUUG